GACGAACGCUGGCGGCGUGCUUAACACAUGCAAGUCGAACGGAAAGGCCCUGCUUUUGUGGGGUGCUCGAGUGGCGAACGGGUGAGUAACACGUGAGUAACCUGCCCUUGACUUUGGGAUAACUUCAGGUAACUGGGGCUAAUACCGGAUAGGAGCUCCUGCUGCAUGGUGGGGGUUGGAAAGUUUCGGCGGUUGGGGAUGGACUCGCGGCGUAUCAGCUUGCUGGUGGGGUAGUGGCUUACCAAGGCUUUGACGGGUAGCCGGCCUGAGAGGGUGACCGGCCACAUUGGGCCUGGGAUCCGGCCCAGCCUCCUCCGGGAGGCAGCAGUGGGGAAUAUUGCACCAUAGGCGGAAGCCUGAUGCAGCAACGCCGCGUGCGGGAUGACGGCCUUCGGGUUGUAAACCGCUUUCGCCUGUGACGAAGCGUGAGUGACGGUAAUGGGUAAAGAAGCACCGGCUAACUACGUG
Molecule: ribosomal RNA, 468 nt
Filed under: uncultured bacterium
Lineage: Bacteria
Description: partial 16S ribosomal RNA
Rfam family: Bacterial small subunit ribosomal RNA
Source: RNAcentral